This 74-nucleotide transfer RNA is filed under the name Thermoplasmata archaeon. RNAcentral describes it as "tRNA-Arg". It matches the Rfam family "tRNA". From Rfam's summary of the family: Transfer RNA (tRNA) molecules are approximately 80 nucleotides in length. Their secondary structure includes four short double-helical elements and three loops (D, anti-codon, and T loops). RNAcentral also lists the same sequence under 1 other name. The record is from RNAcentral. Lineage: Archaea; Methanobacteriati; Thermoplasmatota; Thermoplasmata.
GGGCCCGUAGCCUAGCUGGAUAGGGCGCCGGCCUUCUAAGCCGGAGAUCGUGGGUUCGAAUCCCACCGGGUCCG